This 1201-nucleotide ribosomal RNA is filed under the name Enterococcus faecalis EnGen0374. RNAcentral describes it as "bacterial SSU rRNA". It matches the Rfam family "Bacterial small subunit ribosomal RNA", at positions 335 to 1528 of the family's 1533-position model. The record is from RNAcentral. Lineage: Bacteria; Bacillati; Bacillota; Bacilli; Lactobacillales; Enterococcaceae.
ACUCCUACGGGAGGCAGCAGUAGGGAAUCUUCGGCAAUGGACGAAAGUCUGACCGAGCAACGCCGCGUGAGUGAAGAAGGUUUUCGGAUCGUAAAACUCUGUUGUUAGAGAAGAACAAGGACGUUAGUAACUGAACGUCCCCUGACGGUAUCUAACCAGAAAGCCACGGCUAACUACGUGCCAGCAGCCGCGGUAAUACGUAGGUGGCAAGCGUUGUCCGGAUUUAUUGGGCGUAAAGCGAGCGCAGGCGGUUUCUUAAGUCUGAUGUGAAAGCCCCCGGCUCAACCGGGGAGGGUCAUUGGAAACUGGGAGACUUGAGUGCAGAAGAGGAGAGUGGAAUUCCAUGUGUAGCGGUGAAAUGCGUAGAUAUAUGGAGGAACACCAGUGGCGAAGGCGGCUCUCUGGUCUGUAACUGACGCUGAGGCUCGAAAGCGUGGGGAGCAAACAGGAUUAGAUACCCUGGUAGUCCACGCCGUAAACGAUGAGUGCUAAGUGUUGGAGGGUUUCCGCCCUUCAGUGCUGCAGCAAACGCAUUAAGCACUCCGCCUGGGGAGUACGACCGCAAGGUUGAAACUCAAAGGAAUUGACGGGGGCCCGCACAAGCGGUGGAGCAUGUGGUUUAAUUCGAAGCAACGCGAAGAACCUUACCAGGUCUUGACAUCCUUUGACCACUCUAGAGAUAGAGCUUUCCCUUCGGGGACAAAGUGACAGGUGGUGCAUGGUUGUCGUCAGCUCGUGUCGUGAGAUGUUGGGUUAAGUCCCGCAACGAGCGCAACCCUUAUUGUUAGUUGCCAUCAUUUAGUUGGGUACUCUAGCGAGACUGCCGGUGACAAACCGGAGGAAGGUGGGGAUGACGUCAAAUCAUCAUGCCCCUUAUGACCUGGGCUACACACGUGCUACAAUGGGAAGUACAACGAGUCGCUAGACCGCGAGGUCAUGCAAAUCUCUUAAAGCUUCUCUCAGUUCGGAUUGCAGGCUGCAACUCGCCUGCAUGAAGCCGGAAUCGCUAGUAAUCGCGGAUCAGCACGCCGCGGUGAAUACGUUCCCGGGCCUUGUACACACCGCCCGUCACACCACGAGAGUUUGUAACACCCGAAGUCGGUGAGGUAACCUUUUUGGAGCCAGCCGCCUAAGGUGGGAUAGAUGAUUGGGGUGAAGUCGUAACAAGGUAGCCGUAUCGGAAGGUGCGGCUGGAUCACCU